RNAcentral lists this unclassified non-coding RNA (263 nucleotides) under plant metagenome. Its description in RNAcentral is "partial contains small subunit ribosomal RNA, internal transcribed spacer 1, and 5.8S ribosomal RNA". The record is from RNAcentral.
UUUCCGUAGGUGAACCUGCGGAAGGAUCAUUGUUGUAUAACCGAGGUGCGAGGGCUGUCGCUGACCCGAAAGGUCGUGCACGCCUGAGUGCCCUCACACACAUCCAUCUCACCCCUAUGUGCACCACCGCGUGGGUCCCCCUUUGGCUUGUUCGGAGGGGGGCUUACGUUUUCACACAAACUUUGUAUGCAGUGUAGAAUGUAUUUUUUGUUUUUGCGAUCACGCAAUCAAUACAACUUUCAACAACGGAUCUCUUGGCUCUC